GGGGCUGAUAUGGUUUCGACUUCGUGCAUCAAGCCAGGGGAAGCGUGCCGGUGCAGGCUAGAGACCACCGUAAGCGUCGUAGCAACCUCAUAAGCGCCGAGAACACUCAGCGCGACUACGCCCUCGCUGCCUAAUACCAGCGACCGCGUGUCUGUCGGCCCAGGUUCGUCCCUGACCUGGUAGCCGGCAUCGAUCAAGGGACUUUGCCGUCCGGCCGCGUCAGCGGGGCCGUACGGGACUCCCACCGCUGACUGGGCCCAUCAUCCGGAACGUGUUCGUCCGAGCCGGAGGGCCGAGCAGAGAUCAGGCGCGAACUGCGCACGGAGAAGCCCUGGCGCGAUUGCGGAGGACCCGGGUUCAAUUCCCGGCAGCUCCACAA
This 379-nucleotide transfer-messenger RNA is filed under the name Mycobacteriaceae. RNAcentral describes it as "Corynebacterium sp016342275 Standard tmRNA". It matches the Rfam family "transfer-messenger RNA". From Rfam's summary of the family: Bacterial tmRNA, also known as 10Sa RNA or SsrA, is named for its dual tRNA and mRNA-like properties. RNAcentral also lists the same sequence under 1 other name. Lineage: Bacteria; Bacillati; Actinomycetota; Actinomycetes; Mycobacteriales. The record is from RNAcentral.